Non-coding RNA from Paramuricea clavata, 664 nucleotides. Lineage: Eukaryota; Metazoa; Cnidaria; Anthozoa; Malacalcyonacea; Plexauridae. The record is from the annotation of a GenBank genome assembly.
CCCCAUCAGCUUAUCGUGUCCAUCCACAGAAUGAACCGAGUUUGGCCCUUUGCUUGAAAAACAUUCUUUAGGCUUCUUUCUUUUAGGUCCAACAGCGCGAGUUUCAAGGUCCUCUGGAUCGAGCUCGUACAUUACGGCUUGAACGAGAUCUCUUGGAAUAUUCAAACCAUGUUCUUGCCUGACCUUCUUGUGCAUCGCACGAUAACCGAGAAGUUUACCGGGACCACGAAGUUCUUCUGACACAGCGACACGCACCUCAUCGACAGAUACAUUUGUAUCGGUGUAUUUAAUGUUGAAAUGGCGAAGGCGUCGACUAGGGUGGUAUACUCCACGCAUAUUGAGGAAAGUCGCGCUUUAAAAAAUCCAGCAUUUCCCGUCGCUUAAUACCUUGUUUAACAAAGGUUUUCAUGUCUUCUUCAAGCUGAUAAUCGCUUUGCCAAGCAUCAUUUCCAUAAACAUGUGAGCCAGUUGCCAUUUUUGUUUAUAUUAGACUAAAUAUAUAACCCCCGCAAAGCAAGACAAACAACGAAUCAACGCGCGCAAUGCAUUAUGGUAUACUGUGAUAGCGAUAGGCCGAUAAAAUUUCAUUUUAAUUUCAUUUUAAUUUUAAAAUGCAUUCAAAAACUUUUCAUUUUUACUUCUAUUUUUUUAUUUUUUUAGUAAA